Triticum aestivum (bread wheat) is the source of this 1694-nucleotide long non-coding RNA. RefSeq lists it as uncharacterized. The record is from RefSeq and is a predicted model, not a curated record. Lineage: Eukaryota; Viridiplantae; Streptophyta; Magnoliopsida; Poales; Poaceae. The transcript is spliced from 2 exons.
UCGACACAGCACGAAACGGGUCAGUCGUGCGACAGAGAGUGGAUCCAGCGCCCGUGGAGAGGAGGAGAUCCUGCGAGGGGAUCCAAUCGACGAGCGCAUGAUGCGGGCGAUUGGUCUUCUGACCAAGAUCCUUUCCGCUGAAUCCAGCCGAUGCGCCCAAGGAAAUCCAGCAGAUGUGUGGUGCGGGUGGGGAUCCAGCGGACGCGUGCGAUGAGGGUGACUAAAGGGCCGCUCCAUCGAGCCGAGGCAGGCAAUCUACCUGCAAGGUGGAGUACGAGGGAGGGGACGCGGGCGAUGGCCGACGCCUCAUCUGAUGGAAACUGCUCCAUUGAGACUUGAAAGACGCAAUUAUACUUCGGCCGUUAUACUUCAUUUUCUGAGCGCCCAUUCAUGGCGAGUGAUGUGCUGAUCCUUUCCGGCGCCGAGUGGUGCAACAUAUCUUUUCGCGAGCACCUUCUCGUUGCAGCAUGGUGGCCACGCCUGACGGCUUUACUGUUCAUGGUAGAGCAGUGAUCAGCGGCAAGAGAGAUGGGGGAAAUAAUAGGGUGAGACUGAGUUUUUUUUCUAGCUAUUCCUUUUCUGCUUCUCAACUGCGUCCAUCUUUUCCUGAGACCUCUAACCAGAUCUCACAACCCCAUCUCUUCUGUCUCUCUCGUUUGGGUAGCAAGUUGCCCUGUUAUUGGCCUUUAUUAAGUUUCUCCUGGAUUUUUUCUUCUGUUUCUCUACAUGUUACGCCAACGAAGGUUUACAAGUAGGUACAAAUCUUCAGAGACUAUAAACACCAGGUCUGGAGGGUUGAAACAGAUUCCAAGCACAUCUUCUUGGGAUGCAAAGAACGAAUUUAAGCUGGUAUUUCUUAAUUAAUUGAACACCAGGUCAGGAGAGUUGAAACAGAUUCCAAGCACUGAGUCAUGGUGGAGCUGAUGUGUUCUUUCUAUACGUAUUCCCUGGGAGAUGAUCACUUAAUCUGUAAAAUUUCAUAGUUCCCGCUGGGAGAGUUCAUGCAGAUUUGCUUCCUCAUGUAUAAUUAUAAGUUGUCUAUUCACAAACGUUCAGUUCAGCUGCUGCAGAUGAUGCUUGGUUAUUGAGGUACUGCCAGUACAUAUGUUAACUCUAAACUGGACCAUUGAUUCAGCAACACUACUUUUUGUUUGACUGUAUCUUCAGCAAGGGUACUCUUAUUUCAUGAUUCUAUACUGAACCACUGGUUUUUGCUCGAGCUGUACUAUAGACUCUUAAUUGUGAUUUUUUUGAAGCAAAUUUCAUAUCUGCCACUUACGAGAAAUUUAGAUAAUCGUAGGCUUUUCAGAAGCUUUUGACCUUAGAACGAAGGCUCUUAAGAAGCUGCACUACAUGAAUAUGUGGAUAUCACAUGUAUGUUUUUCUUUCUUUAAAUUUCUGAUGCUUAUGAAUCAUCCGAUGUAAGUAGUUAGCAAGUAUGGAAGAUAAUGUAUGUUUUGAUCUGUCGAGAGAUGCUUUUUCGCUCCUAUUUCAUUUUGGCUUCGCCUCCAAAAUAUUUCAUUGGUUCUUGCACAUCUUGGCUACUUGAUUUCUGUAACUUUUGCAGUUUCAUUUCAUAUUUUCAUGUAAAAUGUGUGCUACAUUAAGUUUAUCUCAUAUCUAUGAGAAUACUGUGUAAUUAUAUGUAAUGAUACAACAUAUCUUUAUGUAAUUGAAUUUCUUUGUUUCAUUUA